This 374-nucleotide unclassified non-coding RNA is filed under the name uncultured bacterium. RNAcentral's name for it is "contains 16S-23S intergenic spacer region". The record is from RNAcentral.
UCCGAGUUGACCCCGGCAGUCUUCGAUGAGUCCCCGCCAUAACGCGCUGGCAACAUCGAACGAGGGUUGCGCUCGUUGCGGGACUUAACCCAACAUCUCACGACACGAGCUGACGACAGCCAUGCACCACCUGUGAACCUGCCCCGAAGGGAAGCCCUGUUUCCAGGGCGGUCAGGCACAUGUCAAGCCUAGGUAAGGUUCUUCGCGUUGCGUCGAAUUAAACCACAUGCUCCACCGCUUGUGCAGGCCCCCGUCAAUUCCUUUGAGUUUCACCCUUGCGGGCGUACUCCCCAGGUGGAUAACUUAACGCUUUCGCUAAGACGCUGACUGUGUAUCGCCAACAUCGAGUUAUCAUCGUUUACAGCGUGGACUAC